UAAUAAUUUAAAAACCAUAACAAAUAACAGCCAAGACAAUAUAUAAAAAUAGAAAAUUUACACACACUUCUAUUUUAAAGAAAUGUCACCCAAUUUAGUUAAAGAAACAGGUCAAAUGUUCAUGACAAGUCCAUAUUUUGUAACUCUUAAUUUAUAUUAAACACUUACACAUACUUCUUUGGCAUACUUUAUGAAAGUAGGUAUGUAUGGCGAAAAUUAAGAUAUCCAAACAGCUGAGAGCAGUUACGGCUAAGGAAAUGUCAUUGUAUGGGGAGCAACUGUCUGUGUGUUUUAAGUAGUAGAUCCUAAACAAAUGAUAAGGUAAGAAACAAAAUAGCAUGACCAAAAUGAAGAACAAACUUUUCAGCUGUGCCCAGAAAUCCUGAUGAACCAACACAGAGCCUUGUAUUUUUUUGACAACCUUCACAAUUAUGAGGAUCUGUAUGGUCAGAAGAAAGCAAACCACUGAGAUCAUAAUAGCUAUUAUGACAUAGUUCACUAUAAUCACAAUGUUGCUAGAAAGUUCUUUGUGAAAGUAGAAACAUUGAUCCGGUAAGUUGGGAAUAGAGUUUUGGCCGUAUACCAAAAAAGUGGGAAGAGCAAUAAUGAGAAUGACUAUCCAUACAGCAGCGCUGGUUGCCACCGAAUGCAGGAUUCUAUAAAAUUCAAUCUUGUCCUUCUGUUGGAAAAAUAUAAAGAAUCUGGUGCCUAGUAUAAUCAGGUAAAAUACAAAACAAAUAUACAUGUGUAUAUGUAUCAUAGCGCUUACAAGUCUGCAAAAAAUAGUGGUAAAGAUCCAUUUCUUUUGAAUAAUGUAAGCAAUCCGGAAUGGUACUGUGAGGAGGAAGACAGUGUGAACAACCAAUAAGUUGAUGACUGCUGUUAUGGUGACUGAACGUGUGUUUGUUCUACAAAUCAAGAAGAUCAUUAUAAGUGUUCCAAUGAAUCCUCCUAGAAACACCACAGAGUAGAUUGCAAGCAGGAUACCAUUUGCAGUGUUAUCAACGAAUAAACAGUCGGUUUCAUUUUGUGUGCUAUUGUCUGACAUUUUGUUUUAUUUUGGUAGAAUUACCU
Molecule: non-coding RNA, 1074 nt
Organism: Pelobates cultripes (western spadefoot toad)
Lineage: Eukaryota; Metazoa; Chordata; Amphibia; Anura; Pelobatidae
Source: the annotation of a GenBank genome assembly